AUUCCAGCUCCAAUAGUGUAUAUUAAAGUUGUUGCAGUUAAAAAGCUCGUAGUUGGAUUUCUGGCGGGAGCGAUCGGUCCUUCACUCAGUGUUGGAACCUGAUUGUCUCCUGCCAUCCAUGGAGAAAACUUAUCUGGCAUUAAGUUGUCGGGUAGGCAAUCUCCAUCUUUUACUGUGAAAAAAUCAGAGUGUUUCAAGCAGGCAUCAUCGCUCUUGCAUGGAUUAGCAUGGGAUAAUGAAAUAGGACCUUGGUGCUAUCUUGUUGGUUUCGAGCACCGAAGUAAUGAUUAACAGGGACAGUCAGGGGCACUCGUAUUCCGCCGAGAGAGGUGAAAUUCUCAGGCCAGCGGAAGACGAACCACUGCGAAAGCAUUUGCCAGGGAUGUUUUCAUCA
This 394-nucleotide ribosomal RNA is filed under the name Dicrateria sp. Its description in RNAcentral is "partial small subunit ribosomal RNA". It matches the Rfam family "Eukaryotic small subunit ribosomal RNA", at positions 582 to 975 of the family's 1831-position model. Lineage: Eukaryota; Haptophyta; Isochrysidales; Isochrysidaceae. The record is from RNAcentral.